CCUACGUCACGAAGCUGGCGUGAACAGCGUGAAAGCGCACACAGAACACUACAUUUAACGCUACUUUGGCCGACUUCACCAGCUCGUGGACACUUCCGUGAUAAAAGCAUGAAUACAUCAAUGGCGGUGUUAAGACUAAGGCGUUUCUGCUUGUUUGAUGGGUAGCCAGUCGGCAGGUUGCGUCAUCUUUUCGUUCGAGAUGGGACUCCAUGUUUUGCUGUACUGGCCGAAUAUUAUUGGAUACAUUAGAAUUGGCCUUGUACUUGCGGCAUGGGCUGCCUUUGAGACACCAGCAGUAUUUGUUUCUCUUUACUCAAUCUUCAUAGCACUUGAUGGAGUGGACGGCUGGCUGGCGAGGAGGCUUUGCCAGAGCUCCAGGUUUGGAGCUUGGCUGGAUGUUGUGGUGGACAACUUGGGCAGAGGCAUGCUGUGGAGCCUGCUGUUUAAGUGGGGUUGGCUGGUGUUUGCUUUGGAGUGGUGUGUGCUUGUGUGUAACCACAAUGCCAGAGGUGACCAGUGGAAGAGCAGUUUCAUCACCAGCCCUCAACUCAUACAAGCUAUCAUGGCAAACGGGUUUCGAACACCUCUUGGCACGUGGGUGGUGAGCGGAUUGCACGGCCUCCCCCUGUGGCUGUAUGGGUGCCAGUGGGGUUUACUCACUCACUGGCUGUUUGUACCUCCAUGGAUCCAGGCUCUGGGGACCCUGCUGCUGGCUGCAGGCCGCCUGCUGGCUCUAUCAGUGGAGAUAUGGUGCAUAUGGACACACAUUGAAUACCUCACCAAUGAGGAGACACAGGAGGAAAAGAAUUGAAAGGCACUCAGCACAGUCAACUUCUACUGUACAUCUCCGCUGCAGCACAGAUGACCCAGCUGCUAAGGGAUGGGACCCACCCAGAAUGGUUGACACAGGGCAGGACAGACCUCCAGAGAGUAAGGCAAGUCCUGAGAAGUCAGCUGAAUGGUCAGAACAAGGUCCAAGCCAUCAACAUGUACACACUGCCAGUCAUUAGAUACCCAGCUGGGAUCAUGAGCUGGCCAAAGUAGGAGAUAGAAGCCACCGAUAUCAAGACAAGAAAGCUCCUCACCAUAGGCCCGUUUCCACCGCAGGAACUUCAAGGUAAUUUUACGGGGCUGGGGCCGUUGGUGCGUGUCUCCACGUUCUCUCCGUUCAUAGCUUCCACCGCCAUGUAAACGAAGAGACACGCCAGAAACACAGCAACCACCUCAGCUCCUAAGGAGCCCUCCUAGGGAUAAUCCCUCCUAGGGAUAAUGUAUAGUGAGCUGGUGACUGUUGAAAAAUAACUCCCAACAGGGGAAUGGAACCCCGGGAGGGAGUUAUUUUUCAACUGUCACUGGCUCACUAUAGAGGAAAUCGCCUUGUUGUUUACAAACACUUCCGAGUAGAAAACCAGCAGAGUUUAGCUGUAUCACAUUUUUCACAUCACUAUAUCACCCUUUAGACUAAUCUGAUGUUUGUAAAGUCUAUAAACACACUAGGCUCGUUCGAGAUGAACUGCGCCUCGCCUGAAAAGUAGACGAGAGCAGGCGGCCGCAGUGGGGGGCAGUGACAAAAAGCCGUGGUGAAGUCGGACAGUUUCCAGCAGCCUUCAGUCCGUACAGGAAGUCACAGACACACUUACAUCCUGUCUGGAAUGAUGUCAAUUCAUUAAAAAAGUGAUCAGACCCAUAUAUCAGUUUGUUUUCAGUCUCCAGGUGUUUUAAUUAUGAUAUAUUAAUUUAUUAAAAUGCUUUACAGGUGAUCUGUAGUUUAUGUUCAUGGUUUAUCCUCCAUUUGACAUGAACUCUCCUGUAAAUCAGCAUCGUAUCAGUUUGACCUGUCCCCUCAACUACACAGGCUAAAUAAACUGUGUUUGACUAUAAGGUUCAUACUUUCAGAGGAAAAAAAAUACAAGACAACAGCUUUCAUUAAGGCUCAGUCAGAUACAGUCAGGGCUUCACAUCUGAUGUUAUUUUAAGAAUCCUCACAUUCCAUUGACCACAAGUCUCUGUGAUGUUAAAUACUUCAAUAAUUAAAAAGUCCAGUGUUAAUAUGCAGUAGACUCUGUAUCUAAAACGUCAUCUUGUUGAGUCAACAUCUGAACCAAUCAGCUGUUAGAUCAGGUGAGAGCCAGGCGGUGCAGUCGGUGGAGAGCAACUGCAGCGCCUGGCUCUAAAAACUGUGGCCGCCUCGCUCUCGCGGUUUUAUCGCCGUCCACUUUUGUAAUACGUCAGAGCAAGUUGGGAUGAAGUUGGACACAAAACUGACCGGCAUGCGUUGUGCGCCGAUCGCUGGUGAUCGAAUCUGCGCAGGCCUGGCUCAUCUCGAACGAACCUAUUACUAUUUCUGUGUGGACGUUUCGUAAUUAAUAACAUGGUUAUCGUAGAUUAACUGGGCUAACCGUUAGCUGUUAGCCGUUAGCGGUGUCUGUAAUAACUCAAUAACUCAAUAAACGGUCCGUGAAAAAAAUAUUUUUUCCUGCGGAUAUCUUAGUUACAACAUGAUUGAGCUAGCAAAGCAGUCUUGUGUUGCUAUGUAUUCGUAUUUGUAUUAUUUAUUUGCACAGUAUUAAAACAAUUGGUAUAAAAACAUCAACAACAACAAAAAAACGAUUGUGCAGGUGAGAUGAAAAACUCCUUAAAGGGUUAUAAUUUAUCUCACCUAUAUAUUCAAUUAAACAAAAAGACAAAGAUUUAAAAUUGCCUAUAAAAUAAUCAAUACGAUACAAUAUAGUACCAAAAAUAGAAAUAUAAAGUAGAAAAGAAACAUGAAGUAGGCCAUCUAAUAAAGUCCCUAAUCAAUGCUGUGUGUGUGUGUUUUGUAUAUUUAUCAGAAAUAAGCAAAAUCGAGAACAGACAUAAAAAAACUAAUCAAAUGUACCACUCAAGGUGUGACACUAAUCUGCAUUCAAAAGAUCAUCAAAGCACCAUAGUCAAAUGCAAAGUUUAUCCUGCAUCUAAACAAUUUUAUAGUUCAUUUUGAAUAUAGAGAAACCAGAAAUUGUUUUAAAUUAUUUUAAAAUAUUGACAGAGAUGGAGAGAUAUUUACCAAGUGUAAAUACACAAUGGAGGAGUGGAGGGUGUCAGGUUUGGUGACAGGAGAAUCUCGUCCCUGUUUUUUUGGUCGGGGGGGAGGUCCUGCCUCAGGUGGAGGAGUUUAAGUACCUCGGGAUCUUGUUCACGAGUGAGGGUAGGAUGGAGCGGGAGAUUGACAGGCGGAUUGGGGCGGCGUCAGCAGUAAUGCGGACGCUUAACCGGUCCGUUGUGGUGAAGAGGGAGCGUAGCCAGAAAGCAAAGCUCUCGAUUUACCGGUCGAUCUACGUUCCAACCCUCACCUAUGGUCAUGAGAGUGAGAUCGCGAGUACAAGCAGCCGAAAUGAGUUUCCUACGCAGGGUGGCUGGGCUCAGCCUUAGGGAUAGGGUGAGGAGCUCAGACAUCCAGGAGGGACUCGGAGUAGAGCCGUUGCUCCUCCACAUUGAGAGGAGCCAGUUGAGGUGGUUCGGGCAUCUGGUAAGGAUGCCUUCCGGACGCCUCCCUUGGGAGGUGUUUCGGGCGUGUCCAACCGGGAGGAGACCUCGGGGCCGCCCCAGAACACGCUGGAGGGACUACAUCACCCGGCUGGCCUGGGAACGCCUCGGGGUUCCCGCGGAAGAGCUGACGGAAGUGACUGGGGAGAGGACUGUCUGGGCUUCUUUGCUGAGGCUGCUGCCCCCGCGACCCGGACCCGGAUAAGCGGAGGACGAGUACGAGUAAAUACACAAUGUGUGGUAUUUAUUCAGUUUUGGGAAAUCACGAUGUCUAGAAAGCAUCAGUGGCUGCAGCUGACAGGGACAGCUAACAGCAGCAGCAAAGCUAACAUCAGGAUGUCAUCUGUUAAAAGCCUCCCGUUGUCGGAUACGACAUGAAACUACUCCAGUUAGCUUAAUCAUGUUGUAACUAGACAUCCGCUGGAAAAAAUAUUUUUUUCGCAGACCGUUUAUUGAGUUACUGAGUUACUACACACACCGCUAACGGCUAACAGCAUCCCUACGCACCUACGUCGCCUGUCGCCCCGGUCAAAAUGGUCGCGCAACAAUUACGUCACAUCCAGAGCCCGGUAACUUUACAGGAACCUUUCUCCAACUCUGCUCUCUCAGUGGAGACACGGUGAUUGAGAGGGCUGAGCGAGAGAACGUUCCUGUAGUAGUUCCUGCCCCCCAAAUAGUACCAGGAACUUCUUCAGUGGAAACGGGCCUAUGCAUAGAGGGUUCCACCCCAAGUCCAGCACCCUGAGGCUAUACACUAGGUGGAAAGAGGGAGGCCGAGGACUAGUGAGUAUCAGAGCCACUAUCCACGGUGAAACAUCCAAAAUCCAGGAGAACAUCAAGAAGAUCAUCUGUAGAAGAACAUCUGUAUCCAGUAUGGACUUGAAGUACCCAAAUCCCGAUGGGCACACCUCCAAAUGUGGUUGAGAACAACAAGGCUAAGAUCCUGUGGGACUUCAGCUUCCAGACUGACAAACAGCUGCUGGCUAACCAACUAUAGUGGUGGUUGACAGACUAGAAGAAGGCAGUAGUGGUAGACGUGGCGAUACCAGCCGACAGCAACAUCAGAUAGAAGGAACACGAAAAGGUGGAGAAGUAUCAAGGGUUGAAAGAACAGCUGGAACAGAUGUGGAAGGUCAAAGUUGACGUGGUCCCCGUGGUAGUAGGAGCACUCGGGACAGUGACCCCCAAACUGGGAGAGUGGCUCCGGCAGAUUCCAGGAGCAACAUCUGAAGCAUCAGUCCAGAAGUGUGCAGUCCCAGGAACAGCUAAGAUACUGCGCAGAACCCUCUAACUCCCAGGCCUCUGGUAGAGGACCCGAGCUUGAGGAUGACACAGACACUACCCUAAGAGGGUGAGAGGGUGAUUUUACAUAAGUGAUAUAGUGAUUUUAUUAUAUAUUCUUGGUGCCUUUUGUGUUCAGUUCAAUGUUCUAUUUGUUCAAUUAAAUAAUUACCUUUAAUUUUUUUCUUUUUAAUUCAACAAGCUAUUUGUUGUAUUUCAACAGUAAACUGACAGCAGCAGAAAGGCAGAGCUGAGAACACUUUAUCUGUUUAUUAUCGCAAGUAAUUGUUGUCGUUGUCACAAUAUUCAACAAAGUUAUUGCAUAUUUCCCUCAUGUAGCCAAUGUGUAUCACAUGAUAGUAGUGGUGUUUGAGUGAGUCAUAUCUGAUAUUUACAUCUAAACACAUUAUAAUACUUGUUGAAAACAUGUGAGAUGCUAGGAACUGUGUAGCUCUGAAUUGUGGAGUUAAACCAUUGUUUUUCAACAUUUGUGUCCAGCAUUUUUUGGGCGGGGUUAACAGCCUGCUCGAUGAUGCAGUGGAGCAAGCCUUAGCAUAAGGCCCCUA
Molecule: RNA transcript, 5372 nt
Organism: Epinephelus moara (kelp grouper)
Lineage: Eukaryota; Metazoa; Chordata; Actinopteri; Perciformes; Serranidae
Exons: 7
Source: RefSeq, a predicted model, not a curated record